Molecule: long non-coding RNA, 4053 nt
Filed under: Sus scrofa (pig)
Lineage: Eukaryota; Metazoa; Chordata; Mammalia; Artiodactyla; Suidae
Description: lncRNA (ENSSSCG00025041870.1)
Source: RNAcentral
AUCCUCAUUUUUCAACUACGAGUAGGUUUCAUGAAUCUAUUCGCGGCCUUAUUAUAGAGAAGAGGACCAAAGUUGAAUGACCCUCAGAUCAACUUCUCAAUUUUAAAAAAUGCCUCGUCUCUCUUCCGUUCUCUGCUCUGGGGUCUUAUAUAGGUAGGAAGAACAGGGGUUUUAGGCGUGGGUGUACUUAAUCUCUCUGAACCCAUUUCCUGAAAACUUGCACAAUGUGUCAUGAGUUUCAAAUGCUCACUUUCCCCAUCUCCAGUACCCAAACUACAGACACACCAGCAAAGUUCAACAGUCCUCAUAAGCUAGAGAAUACACCUCCACGCCAUCCUGUGCGCACACACACACACCCCCAACUGUCAUAGCAGAAAUUGUGUUUUCUUGUGCAUUUAGUAAUGCUUUUCAAAAGGUAGUUUUUUUAAAGCAUUGACUAAAUAAUAUCUAAUACUUUGGAAAGUACUUUUUUUAAUCCUACUGAGAUAAAAGGGCACUAAUAAGGUUAGGCAUCCUGAAAAUACCAACAAAUUUGGAAACCAUCAUGAUGAAUCCCAUAACUUUUUUUUUUUUUUUGGGGCUAUGGAGGGAUGUGGGAUGUCAGUUCUCAGACCAGGGAUCGAACUUGGGCCACUGCAGUGAAAGUGCCAAGUCCUAUCCACUGGGCCACCAGGGAACUCCUAAUUUAUCUAAGUGAGCACAUUUUUAUUUAUUUAUUUAUUUUUGCUUUUUAGAGCCGCACCCGUGGCAUAUGGAAGUUCCCAGGCUAGGGGUCGAAUCAGAGCUACAGCUGCCUGCCUUCGCCACAGUCACAGCAACACGGGAUCCGAGCCAAACCUGUGACCUACAUACACCACAGCUCACACCAAUGCCAGAUCCCUGACCCACUGGGCGAGGCCAGGGAUCAAACCCGCAUCCUCAUGGAUGCUAGUCGGGUUCGUUAACUGCUGAGCCACAACAGGAACUCCCACGUUCCAUUUAUUAAGCUGCAUCCAGCCCUGUGAUAGAAGUAGAACUCUGCCCAGUCACCAAAAGAGGCCUCAGCAGGGGGUGUUUUGCCCAGUUUUACUCAGCGGGUAGAGAGUGGAUCUGAUUAGGAACUUGGGCCAUGCCUCUUAACUCUGCCUCUCCCAGAGUCUCCUAAUUCUGAAAGACUCCUUCCAGAGGCACACCACCACCGACAAGCCCCCAGUGCAAAGUAACAUCUAGAAGCAGAGAGGGCCCUUUGGGAUGCAGUGGGAUUAAGAGCUGUGUGACCUAAGCAAGCUGUCAAACACGUGAAGUCAAGGACUCGGUUGUACCAAGAUACAGAAGAGCAGUUACAGAGAAUCCCCCAGUUCUUCUCCCAGUCUGAGCAAGUGCGCUUCAGGAAGGGUCUGGGGAUGCUCUCCCUCAUCCGGGCCAGUCCUUCAUCCCGCUGGGCUGGCUCCCAUCACCCCACAGGACUAUUAUUUUUUCUUUCUUCUUGUCUUUCCAGGGCCGCACCUGCGGCACAUGGAGGUUCUCAAGCUAGGGGUCUAAUCGGAGGUGUAGCCGCCAGCCUACGCCAGAGCCGCAGCAACACAAGAUCUGAGCCUCCUCUGUGACCUACACCACAGCUUGUGGCAACGCCAGAUCUUCAACCCACGCAGUGAGGCCAAGGAUCGAACCCAACCUCAUGGUUCCUAGUCGGACUCAUUAACCAUUGAUCCACGACAGGAACUCCAGGACCACUGUUUUUUCUGAGCUCUCCUGGUUUCUCCUGCUUGUUGAUGUCCUAGUAAAAUGCAAUCUCAUGGUUGGCCUAUCAGGUACCAUCAAGAACCGCUCUUAGUUUAGAAAUGCUGGGCCUCUGGAAGCCUUGGAUGCGAGGCGGUCCGUAUCACAGGCAUUCGCCCACCUCUGCAAAGCGGAAGGAGAAACGUUCUGUCUGCCAUUGAGUGACGAGACACAGAUUCUUGGUGCCUGCCCACACACCCUGCCCUUCAAAACAAGCCUGCCAAUCAACCAGGGCCCCCCUGGCUCUCAACACUCCGGCCUAGACUCAGCCUCAGCAUCCUUGUCCACUGGACUGUGAUGCUUGGCAUCCAUGGUGACACUGAGUAGCCACUUUUGUCCUAUAAAAACACUAGUAAAGACGAGCUGGCUACUUCCUAUCACUUUUGUGAAAGAUAAUGUAGGCAAACCUGGUAGAAUUUCCACCUGCUUCUUCAAGCUCAAAUACUAGAAUCAAACGUCUUCCAGACAUUGUAAUCAAUUAAUACUGUGAUACAGCUGGUCAAAUUACUCUUUUUAAUGUGCGUACGCUUAAUUACCAUCCACUUUUACAUCUAAAAAAUUCACUCUAAGUUGAGUGUUUCUAUCAAGAUGUUGGCUCUCUCCAGCACAGUCCAUUAGAUUGAUAAAAAUCCAUUUUAAAAUUUAGAGUCUGGCCCAGCAAUCCCACACCUGGGAAUCCAUCCCAAUGAAAUAAAAGCAUCCGUCUGGACAUCGAACAAAGAUGCUUAGUGUAUCACUCUGGGUGGCCGGGUGGGAGUGUGGGAAGAAACCCCUGGAGGCUAAAUGGAUGCCCCUCUGACACGUUCAAGAUGGGGCAGGACUGGGUAAAUCAUGGUACAUCCACACCAGGGACUAUCAGGCCUCAGCGGGAUGCAAAAAGACAGACAACGAGCAGUACGCAUAAAAUGAUUCCAUGUUGUAUCAAGCACAACUACCCCAAAGAAAAAGCUUUUAUAUCUAUAUAUGAAAAAUUUAGAAGGAAACAGAUUAGAUUGUUGGCAUGUUGCACCUCAUAAGGAGGGGUUGACUGGAGGGGAGGGGUAAAGUGACAGAGGGUGGCACUAAGCCGAAAUGGGAUGGACAUGCUCUAAGAUGAACCUUACCAGAAGGUGCACUGACUCACACCAAGAAUGAGCCCAGCAAAGAGCCGGGCGGGCCUCACCCUGUCUGAGGCAUUACGGAGGCAUCUUCAUACAGAAGGACUUCCAUCCUCACACCUCAGGGAGGCCUGGCGUAUCACGGUCCCCAUUAUACGAGUGACAGACAGGAGGCUCAGGGACCACACAGCUGAUAAAGAGAGCCCAUCAGCCCUGCUUCAAAAACGACAUGCCUUUCUACAAUCUAACUAGUCUAUGAGAUUAAACGAGGGGGUAAAAAAACUAAGCCAAAAUGAGUCUUACCAAUUUGGGAGAAAUCUAGCAGGGAAAACGGGCCAAAGGCAUCUUUGCCCGCAUUCCGCGGGGCACGCGCCACCUUUUCCCCCACUGGAGGAGCACAGCUGUGACCCACAGGGCCUGGGGGGCGCCACUCAGCACAGGGGCAGCGGCAGACAUGCCCUUCCUCCAGUCCCGCCUGGAAGCCAAGGCCGUCACAGGAAGCGGGCACCUCUUUUCACCAGAACCCCUUUCCCUGAGCAGUCGGGAUUCACAUCACUCCCUGGAAGGUGAGCUGUGGCGGGGGCGCCGGGGGAGGGGGCGCAGGCACCUGUCGGGCGUGGGGGCUUCCGUGCCCGGGGCCCAGCACUCUGCCUCACUCACAGCAGCUGGUGACCUAUAACCUCUCUUAAAUGAGUGAAUUCGGGUGCUGGGUAAAUACGGGCUGCUCAUCCUUGUGUAAAACGGGGAGGAAGUUACUCCCGAGGGAAUUCUGUGUUUUGGAUAAAGAUAACGUUCACCAUAACAAUAAAAUCGGCAAAAACAGUCAAUGGCCGCAUAUCAAGGUCCUAUUCAAGAGGCACUUGCUAGACCCUUAACGUACACAGCGCGUGGGAAUCUCACAGGAACACUGCACCGCGCAGGAGCGUGGGCGCCUGUGCAGCAGGAGGACCCGGCCAGCCAGGCGGGCGUCACAUGGAAACUCUGCGCUGGUCGUUCCUCUGGCUUCCCGCCGCUUCGCGCUCCACAAGCACGCAUGCUCACACCCUGAGAAACACGAGCACAGGGGAGCCUCAGGACAGCACUGACAGGCGGGCUCUCAGAUCAGCAAGGGGCAAAACACGGUCUGUACGACAUUCUUGCUAUUUUUUGUCUUUUUAGGGCUGCACCCAUGGCAAAUGGAAGUUCCCAGACUAGGGGU